GCGGCAGGCUUAACACAUGCAAGUCGAGGGGUAACAGGGAUUGCUUGCAAUCCGCUGACGACCGGCGCACGGGUGCGUAACGCGUAUGCAACCUACCUUCUACAGGGGGAUAGUCAAUAGAAAUGUUGAAUAAUACCCCAUACGAUCAUUUAUCUGCAUAGAUUAAUGAAGAAAGCUCCGGCGGUAGAAGAUGGGCAUGCGUCCUAUUAGUUAGUUGGUAAGGUAACGGCUUACCAAGACAUCGAUAGGUAGGGGUCCUGAGAGGGAGAUCCCCCACACUGGUACUGAGACACGGACCAGACUCCUACGGGAGGCAGCAGUGAGGAAUAUUGGACAAUGGAGGCAACUCUGAUCCAGCCAUGCCGCGUGCAGGAAGACGGCCCUAUGGGUUGUAAACUGCUUUUAUACAGGAAGGAUUGUACCUACGUGUAGGUAUUUGACGGUACUGUACGAAUAAGGAUCGGCUAACUCCGUGCCAGCAGCCGCGGUAAUACGGAGGAUCCAAGCGUUAUCCGGAAUCAUUGGGUUUAAAGGGUCCGUAGGCGGUCUUUUAAGUCAGAGGUGAAAUCCUGCAGCUCAACUGUAGCAUUGCCUUUGAUACUGAGAGACUUGAGUUAUUGUGAA
This 624-nucleotide ribosomal RNA is filed under the name uncultured Bacteroidota bacterium. RNAcentral's name for it is "bacterial SSU rRNA". It matches the Rfam family "Bacterial small subunit ribosomal RNA", at positions 39 to 656 of the family's 1533-position model. Lineage: Bacteria; Pseudomonadati; Bacteroidota. The record is from RNAcentral.